CCUACGGGAGGCAGCAGUGGGGGAUAUUGCACAAUGGGGGCAACCCUGAUGCAGCAACGCCGCGUGAGUGAAGAAGGGUCUCGGCAUGUAAAGCUCUGUCCGCAGGGAAGAAAAUGACGGUACUUGAAGAGGAAUCACCGACUAACUACGAGCCGGCAGCCGCGGUAAUACGGAGGGGGCAGCCGUUAUCCGGAUGUACUGGGUGUAAAGGGGGCGGAGGCGGGGGUGCAAGUCAGGAGUGAAAGCCCGGGGCUCAACCCCGGGACUGCUGUUGAAACUGCGAGGCUGGAGUGCAGGAGGGGCAAGCGGAAUUCCGGGUGUAGCGGUGAAAUGCGUAGAUAUCAGGAGGAACACCGGUGGCGAAGGCGGCCUGCUGGACAGUAACUGACGCUGAGGCCCGAAAGCGUGGGGAGCAAACAGGAUUAGAUACCCGGGUAGUC
RNAcentral lists this ribosomal RNA (440 nucleotides) under uncultured bacterium. RNAcentral's name for it is "partial 16S ribosomal RNA". It matches the Rfam family "Bacterial small subunit ribosomal RNA", at positions 338 to 795 of the family's 1533-position model. The record is from RNAcentral.